This 484-nucleotide ribosomal RNA is filed under the name uncultured bacterium. RNAcentral's name for it is "partial 16S ribosomal RNA". It matches the Rfam family "Bacterial small subunit ribosomal RNA", at positions 29 to 507 of the family's 1533-position model. The record is from RNAcentral.
AGUGAACGCUGGCGGCAGGCCUAACACAUGCAAGUCGAGCGGCAGCGCGGGGGCAACCCUGGCGGCGAGCGGCGGACGGGUGAGGAAUUCGUCGGAAUCUGCCUUUUUGUGGGGGAUAACGUAGGGAAACUUACGCUAAUACCGCAUACGUCCUACGGGAGAAAGUGGGGGACCGCAAGGCCUCACGCAGAAAGAUGAGCCGACGACCGAUUAGCUAGUUGGUGGGGUAAAGGCCCACCAAGGCGACGAUCGGUAGCUGGUCUGAGAGGAUGAUCAGCCACACUGGGACUGAGACACGGCCCAGACUCUUACGGGAGGCAGCAGUGGGGAAUAUUGGACAAAGGGCGCAAGCCUGAUCCAGCCAUGCCGCGUGUGUGAAGAAGGCCUUCGGGUUGUAAAGCACUUUUGUCCGGAAAGAAAUCCCUGGAGCUAAUACCUUCGGGGGAUGACGGUACCGGAAGAAUAAGCACCGGCUAACUUCGUG